CAUGUAGGCGGUCUGUCAAGUCUGAUGUGAAAGCCCGGGGCUCAACCCCGGAAGUGCAUUGGAAACUGGCAGACUUGAGUACGGGAGAGGAAAGUGGAAUUUCGAGUGUAGGGGUGAAAUCCGUAGAUAUUCGAAGGAACACCAGUGGCGAAGGCGGCUUUCUGGACCGAUACUGGCGCUGAGAUGCGAAAGCGUGGGGAGCAAACAGGAUUAGAUACCCUGGUAGUCC
This 229-nucleotide ribosomal RNA is filed under the name uncultured bacterium. RNAcentral's name for it is "partial 16S ribosomal RNA". It matches the Rfam family "Bacterial small subunit ribosomal RNA", at positions 568 to 796 of the family's 1533-position model. The record is from RNAcentral.